Molecule: RNA transcript, 1987 nt
Organism: Helianthus annuus (common sunflower)
Lineage: Eukaryota; Viridiplantae; Streptophyta; Magnoliopsida; Asterales; Asteraceae
Gene name: ultraviolet-B receptor UVR8
Exons: 11
Source: RefSeq, a predicted model, not a curated record
AAUUUAGGGCACUUUAUACAAACACAUUAUUAUUAUUAUUAACUUCAACUCAAUCCUACACAUUAUAAUUAUUAGUUAGGGUUUGUGUGUUAGUUAGGGUUUGGUGAAAUUAGAUAUGAAUGGUGAUGGAGAUGAAGAGAUGAAAAUGGAUAUGAAGAGUGACGAGAAAUCGGUGUAUAUGUGGGGGUAUUUGCCAGGAGCGUUGCCGCAACGCUCGCCGAUAUUGUCGCCGGUCGAAGUUAGGCUGCCGCAGUCGGCGGAUUCCGGUAGGUUUUGGACGGAUGUGUGUGGUGGUGGUUGCGGAUUUGCUAUGGCUAUUUCAGAUACAGGGAAGCUGAUUACAUGGGGCUCUACUGACGAUCUUGGUCAAAGCUACGUGACAUCCGGGAAACAUGGGAACCUUUCCCUCUUCCGAAUGAAGUUUCGUUAGUGAGAGCCGCAGCCGGCUGGGCACAUUGCGUAUGUGUAACCGUAGCAGGAGAGGUAUAUACAUGGGGAUGGAAAGAGUGUGUCCCAUCCGGAAAAGUUGUCGGGGACCCAAACGCGCCUCAAAGUCAAGAGAAAGACGCAUUUGAGAGGCAUAAUCCGUUUUUAACCGAACAAGUGAGCCCUCGGCCACAGGGAUCACGAUCCACAGGUGGCAUAGCUUCAGGUGUAGACGGUAAAGCCAUUGGGGAUGAAAGUACAAAACGGAGACGUGUAUCGUCAACCAAACAAGUGGUUGAAAGUUCAUCGGCUGGCGAUGAACCUCUUUCGGCUUUACCCUGUUUGGUUGCAUUGAAUCCGGGAGUAAGAAUAGCCACAGUUGCAGCUGGUGGGCGACAUACAUUGGCGUUAUCAGAUGUAGGACAGGUGUGGGGUUGGGGGUAUGGAGGCGAAGGGCAGUUAGGUUUGGGGUCCCGCAUACGGAUGGUAUCAUCACCGCAUCCUAUACCUUGCAUUGCCACAUCAUCAGCAGGAAAAGAUAGAUCCGCAUCCCAUCCGAGAGGAACCAUGGAGGGCUAUAGAGUCCCUGGAAGUUAUAUUAAAGGAAUUGCGUGUGGAGGACGACAUAGUGCUGUAAUUACUGAUGCUGGUGCGUUAAUGACUUUCGGUUGGGGACUCUAUGGACAGGUAAGGUAGAACCGUAGAAAUGACGAAGAAAAAGCACACUGAAUGUUCAAGAAGUUCUAUGUGGAAGCCGAUAAAACCGACAUUUUUAAAUUAUAUUUAAGUUCUACAUUUCAUUGUUUGUUGUACGUCUUUAUGUAGUUGCAUAUUGAUUAAUAUUCUAUACUUGUAAUUAUAUUUCUCAUGGUGUAGUGUGGGCAAGGAAGUACCGACGAUGAGCUAAGCCCUACAUGCGUAUCAUCAUUGUUGGGCAUCCGCGUAGACGGUGUUGCUGCGGGCCUGUGGCAUACAAUCUGCAUUUCAGGCGACGGUGACGUGUAUGCGUUUGGCGGGAAUCAGUUCGGUCAAUUGGGUACCGGCACUGAUCAAGCUGAGACGUUGCCACGGCUUUUGGAUGCUCCGAGUCUUGAAAACGAACAUGCGAGAGUUGUGUCGUGUGGUGCACGACACAGUGCUGUUAUUACAGAUGGUAAGGUGUUUUGCUGGGGAUGGAACAAGUAUGGUCAGCUCGGUCUUGGAGACGUAAUAGACCGUAACAUCCCAUCUCAAGUUCCGCUAGACGGCUGUGUCCCAAGAGUCGUUGCGUGCGGAUGGUGGCACACACUUCUUCUAGCCGAGUCACUUACCUGAUGCAUGAUCGGUUCGCUCAUUUGCUGCUAUUAGAGAGCCAGAAAAGUUUUGUUAGGUUAGUAGCUGCUCUCUCAUUGAGGACAAGAGUACAUGUAUAUGCAUAUGUACAUACUAUAGUUUGUUUACAUGUACAAUCAAUCAUAUGUAUGCAUGUAAUCAUCAUUCUUUAAAGUCUCCAAGGUUUCUUCAUUGUACUAUUGGAACUGAUCCUUAAAUUAUUGUACAUAUGUCAAUAACACUUGAUGUA